UAUUUUCCUGUGAAGAGAAUAGUAACUUAAGUUAGGUUUUAGAGAGUCAGUGUAUGGUGUAAACUGAUACUUAUACUUUAGUGAAUCCAUCUUGGAGGUUUAUUACGAUGAGUAAUACGGUAUUAGCCGUUAAUUAUACGAGAGGAUUAUAUUAAAGUCAAUAAUGUAAUCAAGAAGGGUGGCAACGCGAGUCAAUCGUCCCUAAG
RNAcentral lists this non-coding RNA (206 nucleotides) under Clostridium tyrobutyricum. RNAcentral describes it as "T-box sequence". It matches the Rfam family "T-box leader". From Rfam's summary of the family: Uncharged tRNA acts as the effector for transcription antitermination of genes in the T-box leader family. The record is from RNAcentral. Lineage: Bacteria; Bacillati; Bacillota; Clostridia; Eubacteriales; Clostridiaceae.